UCCAGACUCCUACGGGAGGCAGCAGUGGGGGAUAUUGCACAAUGGGGGGAACCCUGAUGCAGCGACGCCGCGUGGGUGAAGGAGCGUUUCGGCGCGUAAAGCCCUAUCGGCAGGGAAGAAGGAGGACGGUACCUGACUAAGAAGCCCCGGCUAACUACGUGCCAGCAGCCGCGGUAAUACGUAGGGGGCAAGCGUUAUCCGGAUUUACUGGGUGUAAAGGGGGCGCAGACGGCAGCGCAAGCCAGGAGUGAAAGCCCGGGGCACAACCCCGGGACUGCUCUUGGAACUGCGCGGCUGGAGUGCAGGAGGGGCAGGCGGAAUUCCUGGUGUAGCGGUGAAAUGCGUAGAUAUCAGGAGGAACACCGGUGGCGAAGGCGGCCUGCUGGACUGCGACUGACGUUGAGGCCCGAAAGCGUGGGGAGCAAACAGGAUUAGAUACCCCCGUAC
This 447-nucleotide ribosomal RNA is filed under the name uncultured bacterium. Its description in RNAcentral is "bacterial SSU rRNA". It matches the Rfam family "Bacterial small subunit ribosomal RNA", at positions 330 to 793 of the family's 1533-position model. The record is from RNAcentral.